CCAACCUCGAGUCGGCGGUGGGGGAAACGGUCGCCGGACGGCCCGGAGGCGCGGUCUCGCUCGCCGUCGGCAUCGCUCAGAUCUUCAGCGGCCUGCCCGGCAUGCGCGGCCUGAUGGACUACUGGUAUCACUUCGCGAUCAUGUUCGAGGCGCUGUUCAUCCUCACCACGAUCGACACCGGGACACGCGUGGCGCGCUUCCUCGUCCAGGAAUUCCUCGGCCAGUUCCACGCGCCGAUGGCGCGCCAGGAAUGGCUGCCCGGCUCGAUCGUGUCGACACUGCUCGUCGUCUGCGCCUGGGGCUAUUUCAUCUGGACCGGGAGCAUCAGCACCAUCUGGCCGAUGUUCGGCAUCGCCAACCAGCUGCUCGCCACCGUGGCGCUGGCCGUGGGCACGACCAUCAUCGUCAACAGCGGCAAGGCGCGCUAUGCGUGGGUGACGCUCGUGCCGCUGUCGUUCGUCGCGGUGACGACGCUGACGGCGGGCGUGAUGAGCGUGCAGACGAAUUUCUGGCCGAUGGCGAUCGGCCCGGACCCGACCCGCCACUUCACCGGCUAUCUCAAUAGCGGGCUCACGGUGAUGAUGAUGGUCGCCGUCGUCGUCAUUCUCGUCAACGCCGCGUGGCGCUGCACGCGGGUGCUCACGGGAAGAGUGCCGCUGCACGUCGCCGACGUCGCCUAGUGGCCCCGAUAGUCACGCGGAAAUCUAUCAUUUCGCUGUCCUUCCGCCUGAAGGCGGACGUCGCGCCGGGACCAGGUAAUCACUCAUCACUGCCCCGGCGUAAUACCGUCAGGCGCUUUCCACACGCCCGCUUUCCUAUC
RNAcentral lists this unclassified non-coding RNA (820 nucleotides) under uncultured fungus. Its description in RNAcentral is "sequence contains 18S rRNA gene, ITS1, 5.8S rRNA gene, ITS2, 28S rRNA gene". The record is from RNAcentral. Lineage: Eukaryota; Fungi.